RNAcentral lists this ribosomal RNA (366 nucleotides) under Triticum aestivum (bread wheat). RNAcentral's name for it is "partial small subunit ribosomal RNA". Lineage: Eukaryota; Viridiplantae; Streptophyta; Magnoliopsida; Poales; Poaceae. The record is from RNAcentral.
AUGGCCGCCAAAUCAAAGGUCCAAGUCCCAGCGUUGCCGUCUUAUUUUCAUGACAGCGUGGUGUCUCAAUGCGUGAUGGAUUCACUCACACGGAGGAAGCUUUUCUCCGCUACUCCGGCGACAAGCGCACAAGCUUUUGGGUCCAUGGCGCCACCACUAAACAAGCAACUGGAUUCUAUAAAGGAUUUCAACAGAGUUCAUUGUGGGAACCUGAACCCUACUACCAUGUCUCCACUUUCAUGCAGUGGGCUUGACUGGAUCAUAAAGUUUUCUCGCCGAAGAUUCCCUACGCCACCAGCUACUACCCUGAUCCUCUCCCACCAUGGCACAACAAGGCACCUCUUCCUCUCCAGUGAAAGUAACUGA